Non-coding RNA from Podarcis lilfordi (Lilford's wall lizard), 72 nucleotides. NCBI's taxonomy places the organism in Eukaryota, Metazoa, Chordata, Lepidosauria, Squamata, Lacertidae. The record is from the annotation of a GenBank genome assembly.
GCUGGAUAGCUCAGUUGGUGGAGCAUGAGGCUCUUAAUCACAGAGCCAUGGGUUUGAGCCCCACGUUGGGCA